UAACAAGGAUUCCCCUAGUAACUGCGAGUGAAGCGGGAAAAGCUCAAAUUUAAAAUCUGGCUGCCUCCGGUGGUCCGAGUUGUAAUCUGGAGAAGCGUUUUCCGCGUCGGACCGUGUACAAGUCUUCUGGAACGGAGCGUCAUAGAGGGUGAGAAUCCCGUCUCUGACACGGACUACCGAUGCUUUUGUGAUGCGCUCUCGAAGAGUCGAGUUGUUUGGGAAUGCAGCUCAAAAUGGGAGGUAAAUUCCUUCUAAAGCUAAAUAUUGGCUAGAGACCGAUAGCGAACAAGUACCGUGAGGGAAAGAUGAAAAGCACUUUGGAAAGAGAGUUAAACAGUACGUGAAAUUGUUGAAAGGGAAACGCUUGAAGUCAGUCGCGUUGAUCGAGACUCAGCCUGGCUUGCCUGGUGUACUUCUCGGUCGACGGGUCAGCAUCAGUUUUGACCGCCGGAUAAAGGUUGGAGGAAUGUGGCAUCCUUCGGGAUGUGUUAUAGCCUCUGAUUCGCAUACGGCGAUUGGGACUGAGGAACUCAGCACGCCUUUAUGGUCGGGGUUCGCCCACGUAACGUGCUUAGGAUGCUGGCAUAAUGGCUUUAAGCGACCCGUCUUGAAACACGGACCAAGGAGUCUAACAUGCCCGCGAGUGUUUGGGUGUCAAACCCGAGCGCGUAAUGAAAGUGAAAGUUGAGAUCCCUGUCGUGGGGAGCAUCGACGCCCGGACCAGACCUUCUGUGACGGAUCUGCGGUAGAGCGUGUAUGUUGGGACCCGAAAGAUGGUGAACUAUGCCUGAAUAGGGUGAAGCCAGAGGAAACUCUGGUGGAGGCUCGUAGCGAUUCUGACGUGCAAAUCGAUCGUCGAAUUUGGG
RNAcentral lists this ribosomal RNA (866 nucleotides) under Athelia arachnoidea. RNAcentral describes it as "partial large subunit ribosomal RNA". It matches the Rfam family "Eukaryotic large subunit ribosomal RNA", at positions 66 to 915 of the family's 3401-position model. Lineage: Eukaryota; Fungi; Basidiomycota; Agaricomycetes; Atheliales; Atheliaceae. The record is from RNAcentral.